ACAGGGACGAGGCAGCGCAUGAGAUGUACAAUUUUACUAGUUGCCCAUUCCAUGCACAGCCUCUUCCCUGGUU
Non-coding RNA from Solanum tuberosum (potato), 73 nucleotides. The record is from RefSeq and is marked provisional. NCBI's taxonomy places the organism in Eukaryota, Viridiplantae, Streptophyta, Magnoliopsida, Solanales, Solanaceae.